UGAGCAAUCUGCCCUUCUCUUUGGAAUAAGCGUUGGAAACGACGUCUAAUGCCGAAUACGACCUCCUUUCGCAUGAUCGGAGGUGGAAAGCUCCGGCGGAGAAGGAUGAGCUCGCGGCCUAUCAGCUAGUUGGUGUGGGUAAUGGCCCACCAAGGCGACGACGGGUAGCCGGCCUGAGAGGGUGACCGGCCACACGUGGGACUGAGACACGGCCCAGACCUCCGUACGGGAGNAGCG
Molecule: ribosomal RNA, 237 nt
Filed under: uncultured bacterium
Lineage: Bacteria
Description: partial 16S ribosomal RNA
Rfam family: Bacterial small subunit ribosomal RNA
Source: RNAcentral